GCGUCGUGGUUCCGAGUCCCGGUCCGAUCUGGAGCCGCCCUCACGGUCCUGCCUCGCGGAUCCGAAUCCGGGGGUCGAAUUCCGCGCCUGGAGUCCGCCUCGUGUUUUUGAGUCCGGGUCGGAUUCCGUGCCUGGAGUCCGCCCCGCGGCCUCGCAUCGUGGUUCCGAGUCGCGGAUCAGAGCUGGGGCCCGCAGUCCGCCCCGUGGCCCAGCCUCGGGGAGCAGAGUCGGGGGUCGGAGCCGGGGUCCGGAGUCCGUCUCGCGGUCCCGCGUCGUGGAUUUGAGUCGUGGAUCGGAGCCGGGGUCCGGAGUCCGCCUCGCGGUCUAGCCUCGUGGUGUCGAGUCGGGGGUCGGAGUGGCCGUCCGGGGUCCGCCCCGCGGUCCUGUAUCGCGGUUCUGAGUCCCGGGAUCGGAGCCAGGAUCCGGGGUCCGCCCCGCGGUCCAGUCUCGCGGUUCUGAGUCCUGGGAUCGGAGCCAGGAUCUGGGGUCCGCCCCGCGGUCCAGUCUCGAGGUUCUGAGUCCCGGGAGCGGAGCCAGGAUCCGGGGUUCGCCCCGCGGUUCUGAGUCCCGGGAGCGGAGCCGGGGUUCGCCCCCCCUCGCCUCGCCGCGGUCCAGUCUCGCGGUCCUGCGUCGUCGGGAAUCCGUCUGGGUCCGACGUUCUGAUUCCGAGGCUCGGGGUUCCCGCUGCGGGGUCCGGGCAGUCUGCCCGAGUGAAGGCGGGAGUUCGCGGGGGGAAUCCGUGUCCACGUGGUGGUCCGAGUGCGGGUCGGGGCAGCGAUCUGCGUCUGCGCGGGGAGGCCGCCUUCCUGCCGACGUGGCAGACUCGCGGCUGGGCGGGCUGGGCGCGCUGGGGGCGGGCUCCGAGCCAAGAUCCCGGCCGCGGUCCGCGACUGGGCUGCGCUGUGAGUGGGGGGGGGGGGCUGGGGGGGGUCUAGAGUCCCAGUUAGAUUCCCAGGUGGGAGGAGGGGCUCUGGGUCGGGGCGGCUUCCCGGGAUUCGAGCCAGAGUGGUGGUUCCGAGUCAGGACUGGACGCUCUGGAAGGUGCUGGUUCCCAGUCAGGUCUGGGUGCGGAGUCCGACUCGGAGAUCGCGGCUGGGGUUUGGGGUCCGAGUUGGGGAUCCCAGUCAGAAGUUGGAACGGAGGUUUCUGGUUGGGGUGGGGAUUCUGAGUCACAGCCCGCUGGGAGUUGGGUUUGGAAUCACGGGUCUAAGUAGGGGAGGGGAGUGCGGAAUGGAAGUCUUGGUCACGCCCGGGAUAGAGUCCACGACUGGAGUCACGGCUCUCAGUCUGAACGGUAGCGGGGGACAGCCCGGGACUUGGCUUCCCCUGAGCCCCAACCCCAGUGUGCUCAGCAUAGCAGACGGCCUUUUCUGCGAAACGGGGAUGAGUGCCUUCGUCCCGCAGGACGGUUCUGGUCGUGGCAGGCAUGAGCUCCUCCGCGCCAGAGCUCUGCCUAGACGGACAGACGCACGGAGAGCCACCCCGGACAGGACGUUGCUAGCACAGUAACGCUCGCAUUUUGGGUACAUUUGCCGGUCCCUCUCUGUACUGCGGUGCCCGUGAUGGACCGAGAGCUCCCAGGAGGGACUUUUCUGUUGUUCUCUGCUGCCCCCCACACCCCCCGCACCCCCCCAGCCGAGAGCCUGAUGCACAGCCUUGCAGGACUUGGGGAAGGAAAGCAGGCAGGAUUAACCAGAUUUCCAUGGUGUCUCAAAUGACCCAUCUCUGCACCUGUUUUCCAGAUACUCACUGGGAGAAAAAUUUAAGGAUUGGGUUGCUUGAUUACGGUUCUAUUUUAAUGUGUUUCCAAACAUGUUAAAGAGAAAAGUGGGCCUGUUUCAGGAUUUAUGCUCCAGCUAGAGGGAUCUUUUAAAUUGGGAAUCAGAGCAUGUCCAAAUUCAAAUAAGGAGAACACGAGAACAUUAUGAACUAGUUCCCUCGUGGGUGCCGAGGUCCCACGCACACCGUCCGCUCACCGAGUGCGACAGUGUGCUACAGCGUUCUUCGACAAGGGGGAUUUCUCCUAGGAAUGCAGAGAUGAUCCAAUAUCAGAAACUCUACCCGUGUAAUUCACCACGUUAAGAGACCAGAGGAGAAAAACCAUAUGGUUCUCUCAGUAGAGACAGAAGAAUUACACAGUUCCAGGCCUCUGCCUCAUUUUAGGGCGGGGGGGGGGGGGGAUAGCACUUAGCCAGCCCGGACGAGAGGCCCCGAUGUGAUACAGAUUCUGUACCAACGACUGGCUUUUCAGCAGACUGUCUCCGUCCCUUCCAGCGGGGGACAAGGCACAGGGGCCACCACAGGCAUCCUCUCCCCUCUCAUGAGGGAAGGGAACAGAGCCAAGGGGGAGGCCCGGGAGAGAGGGAACCGCCCGUCCCGAGACGAGAAGCCUCUGCUUCUCGGACAAAGUGUUGAAGUCCCCAGAGCACCUGGUUCAUGUGGGCUGGAUCCGUGGGUGGGUAGUUAGCCCCUCGGAAGCUAAACCUGAGAAACAUGAAAAACCGAACCCAGGGCCAUCCGGGCAUGGAUUCCGGCGGGUCACGCUUCCUUUGGGAAACUCUUUAACUUUGUGAGAGUGAGAGCAGAGCAGGCAAAUAACGUCCGAGUGUUAGGAUGAAAGUGGUUUUGACCUUGGGCGAAGGCCUCCAGGGCUCUCUGGGGUCCUCAGACCACACUCUGAAAACUGCUGAGCUGCGUGAAAAAGAGUCAACUUUUGCAGAAUGGAAAAGAGGCGAGAGCAAAGGUUUGGGGACAGAAGAUCGACCCCCCCCCCCCCCCCCCCCGCACGUGAGCCAGUGUGAGUGAGUGAGAAGCAGGAGAGAAGUUACAGCAGCAACACUUAAGCCCGGUCAGGAAUUAACAAAGAAGACUUUUAUGGAGAAAAUGUAAAAACUCUGCUGAAGGAAGUAAGGGAACACGGACUGAUGCGGAGACUGUCCGUUCUCUUGGACGGGGCGGCUCAGCCUGAGAAGGGGUCAGGGUUUGCCCAGAUCUUUUAGUGCAGCUCUGCUUAAACUUCCAGUUGGGGUUUUUGAGGAACUUGACAGACAUACUCUAAAGCGUGCGUGAAAGGAAAUGCUCUGCAAACACCAAGUGCACCCGCGGCAGGAGGACAGAGGCGGCCUUGUGCCCGCAGACCCCGGCGCCCGCUCCAAGCCUCAGCAGCAGGAGCGGCGGGGGACGCCGGCCCAGCAGAGACGCCAGAGGCAGCCUUGCCUGAGAGGAAGGUGGCCUGAGACCAAGGUGGUGCCGCGUGGCCGCGGGGACCACGCGGAGGACGACUAGGGGAAGCUAGCCCCGAGUGGAGAAACCAGAAUGCGGAUUCCUGCCUGAGCCGCCUGGGAAGAGCAGCCUCCGAAUGGACAGCAGAGUUGCUGCUUGUUCACUAGGACAGUGGGGGGGGGGGGCAGGGCAGCAGGCCGGUGGGGGGAGAGUCACCUCCAGGCCUUGGGAGCCUGGGGCGGGGGCGCGAGGGGGGUGGGUGGGGGUGUGGAACGCAGUGCCCAGAAAACACAGCUUCAAACGUGAAAGUCACAGACUCGCAAAUAAAGUGUUUCUGCUGCAUCAGUCGGUUGUGGUGAAGUACUUUUGGGGAGCCUCUGAGACGGGGCUUGUGUUCACUCUCACUCACGGGACUCUGCCCAGGUCACUGAUGACAGACGGCGCGACACUUGAACAAAACCGAUAAGCGGCCGACGGCUGCCGCACACCCGGCCGUCCCGCAGACCACAGAGAGGAGGACGGGGCCCGACCGCAGCAGGCAAG
This is a long non-coding RNA of Mustela erminea (ermine), 3765 nucleotides long. RefSeq lists it as uncharacterized. The record is from RefSeq and is a predicted model, not a curated record. NCBI's taxonomy places the organism in Eukaryota, Metazoa, Chordata, Mammalia, Carnivora, Mustelidae. The transcript has 2 exons.